RNAcentral lists this ribosomal RNA (555 nucleotides) under uncultured Gammaproteobacteria bacterium. RNAcentral's name for it is "bacterial SSU rRNA". It matches the Rfam family "Bacterial small subunit ribosomal RNA", at positions 493 to 1045 of the family's 1533-position model. Lineage: Bacteria; Pseudomonadati; Pseudomonadota; Gammaproteobacteria. The record is from RNAcentral.
CCGGCUAACUCCGUGCCAGCAGCCGCGGUAAUACGAAGGGUGCAAGCGUUACUCGGAAUUACUGGGCGUAAAGGGUGCGUAGGUGGUCGUUUAAGUCCGUUGUGAAAUCCCUGGGCUCAACCUGGGAAUGGCAGUGGAUACUGGAUGGCUAGAAUGCGGUAGAGGGUAGUGGAAUUCCCGGUGUAGCAGUGAAAUGCGUAGAGAUCGGGAGGAACACCAGUGGCGAAGGCGGCUACCUGGACCAGCAUUGACACUCAAGCACGAAAGCGUGGGGAGCAAACAGGAUUAGAUANCCCUGGUAGUCCACGCCCUAAACGAUGCGAACUGGACGUUGGGAGCAACUUGGCUCUCAGUGUCGAAGCUAACGCGUUAAGUUCGCCGCCUGGGGAGUACGGUCGCAAGACUGAAACUCAAAGGAAUUGACGGGGGCCCGCACAAGCGGUGGAGUAUGUGGUUUAAUUCGAUGCAACGCGAAGAACCUUACCUGGUCUUGACAUGUCCGGAACCUUGCAGAGAUGCGAGGGUGCCUUCGGGAAUCGGAACACAGGUGCUGCA